This 492-nucleotide ribosomal RNA is filed under the name uncultured bacterium. Its description in RNAcentral is "partial 16S ribosomal RNA". It matches the Rfam family "Bacterial small subunit ribosomal RNA", at positions 29 to 507 of the family's 1533-position model. The record is from RNAcentral.
AGUGAACGCUGGCGGUAGGCCUAACACAUGCAAGUCGAACGGCAGCACAGUAAGAGCUUGCUCUUACGGGUGGCGAGUGGCGGACGGGUGAGGAAUACAUCGGAAUCUACUUUUUCGUGGGGGAUAGCGUAGGGAAACUUACGCUAAUACCGCAUACGACCUACGGGUGAAAGCAGGGGAUCUUCGGACCUUGCGCGAUUGAAUGAGCCGAUGUCGGAUUAGCUAGUUGGCGGGGUAAAGGCCCACCAAGGCGACGAUCCGUAGCUGGUCUGAGAGGAUGAUCAGCCACACUGGAACUGAGACACGGUCCAGACUCCUACGGGAGGCAGCAGUGGGGAAUAUUGGACAAUGGGCGCAAGCCUGAUCCAGCCAUACCGCGUGGGUGAAGAAGGCCUUCGGGUUGUAAAGCCCUUUUGUUGGGAAAGAAAAGCAGCAGGUUAAUACCCCGCUGUUCUGACGGUACCCAAAGAAUGAGCACCGGCUAACUUCGUG